CAAGUCGAGCGAACAGAUAAGGAGCUUGCUCCUUUGACGUUAGCGGCGGACGGGUGAGUAACACGUGGAUAACCUACCUAUAAGACUGGGAUAACUUCGGGAAACCGGAGCUAAUACCGGAUAACAUAUUGAACCGCAUGGUUCAAUAGUGAAAGGCGGCUUUGCUGUCACUUAUAGAUGGAUCCGCGCCGUAUUAGCUAGUUGGUAAGGUAACGGCUUACCAAGGCAACGAUACGUAGCCGACCUGAGAGGGUGAUCGGCCACACUGGAACUGAGACACGGUCCAGACUCCUACGGGAGGCAGCAGUAGGGAAUCUUCCGCAAUGGGCGAAAGCCUGACGGAGCAACGCCGCGUGAGUGAUGAAGGUCUUCGGAUCGUAAAACUCUGUUAUCAGGGAAGAACAAAUGUGUAAGUAACUGUGCACAUCUUGACGGUACCUGAUCAGAAAGCCACGGCUAACUACGUGCCAGCAGCCGCGGUAAUACGUAGGUGGCAAGCGUUAUCCGGAAUUAUUGGGCGUAAAGCGCGCGUAGGCGGUUUUUUAAGUCUGAUGUGAAAGCCCACGGCUCAACCGUGGAGGGUCAUUGGAAACUGGAAAACUUGAGUGCAGAAGAGGAAAGUGGAAUUCCAUGUGUAGCGGUGAAAUGCGCAGAGAUAUGGAGGAACACCAGUGGCGAAGGCGACUUUCUGGUCUGUAACUGACGCUGAUGUGCGAAAGCGUGGGGAUCAAACAGGAUUAGAUACCCUGGUAGUCCACGCCGUAAACGAUGAGUGCUAAGUGUUAGGGGGUUUCCGCCCCUUAGUGCUGCAGCUAACGCAUUAAGCACUCCGCCUGGGGAGUACGACCGCAAGGUUGAAACUCAAAGGAAUUGACGGGGACCCGCACAAGCGGUGGAGCAUGUGGUUUAAUUCGAAGCAACGCGAAGAACCUUACCAAAUCUUGACAUCCUUUGACCGCUCUAGAGAUAGAGUCUUCCCCUUCGGGGGACAAAGUGACAGGUGGUGCAUGGUUGUCGUCAGCUCGUGUCGUGAGAUGUUGGGUUAAGUCCCGCAACGAGCGC
This 1062-nucleotide ribosomal RNA is filed under the name Staphylococcus sp. RNAcentral's name for it is "bacterial SSU rRNA". It matches the Rfam family "Bacterial small subunit ribosomal RNA", at positions 58 to 1099 of the family's 1533-position model. Lineage: Bacteria; Bacillati; Bacillota; Bacilli; Caryophanales; Staphylococcaceae. The record is from RNAcentral.